CUGCAGGUGCAUUAGUCAACCCGA
Molecule: non-coding RNA, 24 nt
Filed under: Arabidopsis thaliana (thale cress)
Lineage: Eukaryota; Viridiplantae; Streptophyta; Magnoliopsida; Brassicales; Brassicaceae
Source: RNAcentral